This 492-nucleotide ribosomal RNA is filed under the name uncultured bacterium. RNAcentral's name for it is "partial 16S ribosomal RNA". It matches the Rfam family "Bacterial small subunit ribosomal RNA", at positions 29 to 507 of the family's 1533-position model. The record is from RNAcentral.
AGUGAACGCUGGCGGUAGGCCUAACACAUGCAAGUCGAACGGCAGCACAGUAAGAGCUUGCUCUUACGGGUGGCGAGUGGCGGACGGGUGAGGAAUACAUCGGAAUCUACUUUUUCGUGGGGGAUAACGUAGGGAAACUUACGCUAAUACCGCAUACGACCUACGGGUGAAAGCAGGGGAUCUUCGGACCUUGCGCGAUUGAAUGAGCCGAUGUCGGAUUAGCUAGUUGGCGGGGUAAAGGCCCACCAAGGCGACGAUCCGUAGCUGGUCUGAGAGGAUGAUCAGCCACACUGGAACUGAGACACGGUCCAGACUCCUACGGGAGGCAGCAGCGGGGAAUAUUGGACAAUGGGCGCAAGCCUGAUCCUGCCAUACCGCGUGGGUGAAGAAGGCCUUCGGGUUGUAAAGCCCUUUUGUUGGGAAAGAAAAGCAGCAGGUUAAUACCCCGCUGUUCUGACGGUACCCAAAGAAUAAGCACCGGCUAACUUCGUG